This 1347-nucleotide ribosomal RNA is filed under the name Trichoderma americanum. Its description in RNAcentral is "eukaryotic LSU rRNA". It matches the Rfam family "Eukaryotic large subunit ribosomal RNA", at positions 56 to 1434 of the family's 3401-position model. Lineage: Eukaryota; Fungi; Ascomycota; Sordariomycetes; Hypocreales; Hypocreaceae. The record is from RNAcentral.
AGAACCAACAGGGAUUGCCCCAGUAACGGCGAGUGAAGCGGCAACAGCUCAAAUUUGAAAUCUGGCCCCUCUCGGGGUCCGAGUUGUAAUUUGUAGAGGAUGCUUUUGGNGAGGCGCCGCCCGAGUUCCCUGGAACGGGACGCCACAGAGGGUGAGAGCCCCGUCUGGCUGGCCGCCGAGCCUCUGUAAAGCUCCUUCGACGAGUCGAGUAGUUUGGGAAUGCUGCUCAAAAUGGGAGGUAUAUGUCUUCUAAAGCUAAAUACUGGCCAGAGACCGAUAGCGCACAAGUAGAGUGAUCGAAAGAUGAAAAGCACCUUGAAAAGAGGGUUAAAUAGUACGUGAAAUUGUUGAAAGGGAAGCGCUUGUGACCAGACUUGGGCGCGGCGGAUCAUCCGGGGUUCUCCCCGGUGCACUUCGCCGCGUCCAGGCCAGCAUCAGUUCGUCGCGGGGGAUAAAGGCUUCGGGAAUCGUGGUCUCCCCCGGGAGUGUUAUAGCCCGUCGCACAAUACCCUGCGGUGGACUGAGGACCGCGCAUCUGCAAGAUGCUGGCGUAAUGGUCACCAGCGACCCGUCUUGAAACNCGGACCAAGGAGUCGUCUUCGUAUGCGAGUGUUCGGGUGUCAAACCCCUACGCGUAAUGAAAGUGAACGCAGGUGAGAGCUUCGGCGCAUCAUCGACCGAUCCUGAUGUUCUCGGAUGGAUUUGAGUAAGAGCAUACGGGGCCGGACCCGAAAGAAGGUGAACUAUGCCUGUAUAGGGUGAAGCCAGAGGAAACUCUGGUGGAGGCUCGCAGCGGUUCUGACGUGCAAAUCGAUCGUCAAAUAUGGGCAUGGGGGCGAAAGACUAAUCGAACCUUCUAGUAGCUGGUUUCCGCCGAAGUUUCCCUCAGGAUAGCAGUGUUGAGCUCAGUUUUAUGAGGUAAAGCGAAUGAUUAGGGACCCGGGGGCGCUAUAUUGCCUUCAUCCAUUCUCAAACUUUAAAUAUGUAAGAAGCCCUUGUUACUUAGCUGAACGUGGGCAUUCGAAUGUAUCAACACUAGUGGGCCAUUUUUGGUAAGCAGAACUGGCGAUGCGGGAUGAACCGAACGCGAGGUUAAGGUGCCAGAGUAGACGCUCAUCAGACACCACAAAAGGCGUUAGUACAUCUUGACAGCAGGACGGUGGCCAUGGAAGUCGGAAUCCGCUAAGGACUGUGUAACAACUCACCUGCCGAAUGUACUAGCCCUGAAAAUGGAUGGCGCUCAAGCGUCUCACCCAUACCUCGCCCUCGGGGUAGAAACGAUGCCCCGAGGAGUAGGCGGACGUGGAGGUCAGUGACGAAGCCUAGGGCGUGAGCCCGGGUCGAACG